This is a non-coding RNA of Plasmodium malariae, 153 nucleotides long. The record is from Rfam. Lineage: Eukaryota; Apicomplexa; Aconoidasida; Haemosporida; Plasmodiidae.
UAAUUUUAACGAUGGAUAUCUUGGUUCUUACAGUGAUUAAAACCGCAGCAACAUGUGAUAAACAAAGAAAGUUUCAAUGAAUGUAAAUCAUCUGAACGCUCAAAGUAAAAUUCAUCAAUGUUUGAAGUGAACAAAGGUGAGCUUAUAUUGUUU